This 127-nucleotide unclassified non-coding RNA is filed under the name rhizosphere metagenome. RNAcentral's name for it is "partial ribosomal RNA internal transcribed spacer region". The record is from RNAcentral.
AAAUGCAGCUUGCUGCUUCUAUAUAUCUUACACCUGUGAACUAUUGCCUUCGGGCCAACAAACAUAAUGUAACGAAUGUAAAUUAUUAUAACAAAAUAUAACUUUCAACAACGGAUCUCUUGGCUCU